This 253-nucleotide ribosomal RNA is filed under the name uncultured bacterium. RNAcentral's name for it is "partial 16S ribosomal RNA". It matches the Rfam family "Bacterial small subunit ribosomal RNA", at positions 524 to 776 of the family's 1533-position model. The record is from RNAcentral.
UACGUAGGGGGCUAGCGUUGUCCGGAAUCAUUGGGCGUAAAGAGCGCGUAGGCGGCCCGAUAAGUCUGCUGUGAAAGUCCAGGGCUCAACCCUGGAAUGCCAGUGGAUACUGUCGGGCUAGAGUACGGAAGAGGCGAGUGGAAUUCCUGGUGUAGCGGUGGAAUGCGCAGAUAUCAGGAGGAACACCGGUGGCGAAGGCGGAUCUCUGGGCCUUGCCUGACGCUGAGGCGCGAAAGCUAGGGGAGCGAACAGG